GGGCGGUUAGCUCAGUUGGCAGAGCGCCACGCUUACAACGUGGAGGUCGCCUGUUCGAGCCAGGCACCGCCCA
RNAcentral lists this transfer RNA (73 nucleotides) under Gemmatimonadota bacterium. RNAcentral describes it as "Gemmatimonadetes bacterium (soil metagenome) tRNA-Val". It matches the Rfam family "tRNA". Rfam says of the family: Transfer RNA (tRNA) molecules are approximately 80 nucleotides in length. Their secondary structure includes four short double-helical elements and three loops (D, anti-codon, and T loops). Further hydrogen bonds mediate the characteristic L-shaped molecular structure. tRNAs have two regions of fundamental functional importance: the anti-codon, which is responsible for specific mRNA codon recognition, and the 3' end, to which the tRNAs corresponding amino acid is attached (by aminoacyl-tRNA synthetases). tRNAs cope with the degeneracy of the genetic code in two manners: having more than one tRNA (with a specific anti-codon) for a particular amino acid; and 'wobble' base-pairing, i.e. permitting non-standard base-pairing at the 3rd anti-codon position. RNAcentral also lists the same sequence under 2 other names. Lineage: Bacteria; Pseudomonadati; Gemmatimonadota. The record is from RNAcentral.